RNAcentral lists this ribosomal RNA (253 nucleotides) under uncultured bacterium. Its description in RNAcentral is "partial 16S ribosomal RNA". It matches the Rfam family "Bacterial small subunit ribosomal RNA", at positions 524 to 776 of the family's 1533-position model. The record is from RNAcentral.
UACGUAGGGUGCAGGCGUUAAUCGGAAUUACUGGGCGUAAAGCGUGCGCAGGCGGUGAGCUGUGUCCGAUGUGAAAGCCCCGGGCUUAACCUGGGAAUGGCAUUGGAAACUGGCUCGCUGGAGUGUGGCAGAGGGGGGUGGAAUUCCGCGUGUAGCAGUGAAAUGCGUAGAGAUGUGGAGGAACACCGAUGGCGUAGGCAGCCUCCUGGGCCAAUUCUGACGCUCAGGCACGAAAGCGUGGGGAUCAAACAGG